UACGGGGGGGGCAAGCGUUGUUCGGAAUUACUGGGCGUAAAGGGCGCGUAGGCGGCCUGCUAAGUCGGACGUGAAAUCCCUCGGCUCAACCGGGGAACUGCGUCCGAUACUGGCGAGGCUUGAAUCCGGGAGAGGGAUGUGGAAUUCCAGGUGUAGCGGUGAAAUGCGUAGAUAUCGGGAGGAAUACCAGUGGCGAAGGCGGCCUUCUGGACGGAUACUGACGCUGAGGCGCGAAAGCCAGGGGAGCAAACGGG
Molecule: ribosomal RNA, 254 nt
Filed under: uncultured bacterium
Lineage: Bacteria
Description: partial 16S ribosomal RNA
Rfam family: Bacterial small subunit ribosomal RNA
Source: RNAcentral